Molecule: ribosomal RNA, 454 nt
Filed under: Enterococcus faecalis TX1467
Lineage: Bacteria; Bacillati; Bacillota; Bacilli; Lactobacillales; Enterococcaceae
Description: bacterial SSU rRNA
Rfam family: Bacterial small subunit ribosomal RNA
Source: RNAcentral
GACGAACGCUGGCGGCGUGCCUAAUACAUGCAAGUCGAACGCUUCUUUCCUCCCGAGUGCUUGCACUCAAUUGGAAAGAGGAGUGGCGGACGGGUGAGUAACACGUGGGUAACCUACCCAUCAGAGGGGGAUAACACUUGGAAACAGGUGCUAAUACCGCAUAACAGUUUAUGCCGCAUGGCAUAAGAGUGAAAGGCGCUUUCGGGUGUCGCUGAUGGAUGGACCCGCGGUGCAUUAGCUAGUUGGUGAGGUAACGGCUCACCAAGGCCACGAUGCAUAGCCGACCUGAGAGGGUGAUCGGCCACACUGGGACUGAGACACGGCCCAGACUCCUACGGGAGGCAGCAGUAGGGAAUCUUCGGCAAUGGACGAAAGUCUGACCGAGCAACGCCGCGUGAGUGAAGAAGGUUUUCGGAUCGUAAAACUCUGUUGUUAGAGAAGAACAAGGACGUUA